CUGGUUCUUUCACUGUGGACAUCAUUCAAUUCUUCUACUUCCACGAGAACUCGUCGAAGAACAAACGCAAAGAUGAAACUCCUGGCUAUCUUCCUCUGCAUCGCGGUAGCUGUAGCCUCAGCCGAGGUCCACUGGGACGAGAACGGGCAGUACCGUCUGGUUGACACGGCGCCUUACACACUGGCCUUCAAGCCGGUCCCCAUGGUGGCGCCGAUAGCGAUGCGGGAGUUCACACCGUUCCUCUACAACUACAAGCAGAUCAGGAGCGGCGACGCUAAACUAUGAACUGAUGACGUGGUGAAAAUAAAUCACACUUCAAUUUGA
Molecule: long non-coding RNA, 324 nt
Organism: Cydia fagiglandana
Lineage: Eukaryota; Metazoa; Arthropoda; Insecta; Lepidoptera; Tortricidae
Exons: 2
Source: RefSeq, a predicted model, not a curated record